GACGAACGCUGGCGGCGUGCUUAACACAUGCAAGUCGAACGGAAAGGCUCCAGCUUGCUGGAGUACUCGAGUGGCGAACGGGUGAGUAACACGUGGGUAAUCUGCCCUGCACUCUGGGAUAAGCCUGGGAAACUGGGUCUAAUACUGGAUAUGACCUUUCUCCUUAUGGGGUUUGGUGGAAAGUUUUUCGGUGUAGGAUGAGCCCGCGGCCUAUCAGCUUGUUGGUGGGGUGAUGGCCUACCAAGGCGACGACGGGUAGCCGGCCUGAGAGGGUGAUCGGCCAUAUUGGGACUGAGAUACGGCCCAGACUCCUACGGGAGGCAGCAGUGGGGAAUAUUGCACAAUGGGCGGAAGCCUGAUGCAGCGACGCCGCGUGAGGGAUGACGGCCUUCGGGUUGUAAACCUCUUUCAGCAGGGACGAAGCGUAAGUGACGGUACCUGCAGAAGAAGCACCGGCUAACUAUGUG
RNAcentral lists this ribosomal RNA (467 nucleotides) under uncultured bacterium. RNAcentral describes it as "partial 16S ribosomal RNA". It matches the Rfam family "Bacterial small subunit ribosomal RNA", at positions 28 to 507 of the family's 1533-position model. The record is from RNAcentral.